Non-coding RNA from Physcomitrium patens, 703 nucleotides. Lineage: Eukaryota; Viridiplantae; Streptophyta; Bryopsida; Funariales; Funariaceae. The record is from RefSeq and is a predicted model, not a curated record.
UUUUUUCCUGCCAUAUUCCAUACCUUUUUUUGGGUGAAGUAUGUAUAUCUGUUUUAUCAUCACUUAUCUCUAAACUUUUGUGUAUCUCCCUUCCGCUUUUAGAAAAUAUCAUAACCUUUGCUUUAGUAGUAGUGACCCAAGGUGAAAUUGUUCAUGUUCUAGAUAUCGAAUUUUCACUGUGCGUGUUUCGAUCUCUUCAGCAGUAAUAUGUUGGAUCGUCUUUGAAUCGUCUUGCUCACGUCUAUGUUUGCCUUUUUAAAUCGUGAUAGUAAUACUUUCCAGGCAUAAAGUUGGCAUUCUCUAGUAGCUGAUGAUAUGGCAUGCACUCCACACAUGUAAGGGGCGAAUAGCAUCAAGUCAAGACAUGUCAGGAAUGUAGGAAAAUUUAGGAGCAGCUUGAGCAAAAUUGAUACCCACUAGAAAGGAUGUAACACUGAUUUUUUACUCACGAAUUCAUUUUGUUACAUCCAGAGUACCUUCGUCGAGAUUCUGCUCUCGUCGGGUUUAUAGCUUGACAGCCCGGUUUGAAGGUUCUUAUGAGCGUAGAACCUCUUAAUAAGGAUUUAAAACCUUGCCUGAAUAUUCUCUAGAAAUUUUUGAAGCACCUGUAAGUGCGAAACAAUGUGACAAUUAGGAGUUUUAGUCUGGCACUGUCUCAGUAAAAGAUUUCUACUGUGAGGCUUCUGUUCCGAUCUUAUGCUAA